GUAGGUGGCAAGCGUUGUCCGGAAUUAUUGGGCGUAAAGCGCGCGCAGGCGGUUCUUUAAGUCUGAUGUGAAAGCCCACGGCUCAACCGUGGAGGGUCAUUGGAAACUGGAGAACUUGAGUACAGAAGAGGAAAGCGGAAUUCCACGUGUAGCGGUGAAAUGCGUAGAGAUGUGGAGGAACACCAGUGGCGAAGGCGGCUUUCUGGUCUGUAACUGACGCUGAGGCGCGAAAGCGUGGGGAGCAAACAGGGAUUAGAUACCCUGGUAGUCCACGCCGUAAACGAUGAGUGCUAAGUGUUAGGGGGUUUCCGCCCCCUUAGUGCUGCAGCUAACGCAUUAAGCACUCCGCCCGUGGGGAGUACGGCCGCAAGGCUG
Molecule: ribosomal RNA, 375 nt
Filed under: uncultured organism
Description: partial 16S ribosomal RNA
Rfam family: Bacterial small subunit ribosomal RNA
Source: RNAcentral